GGGGAGUUAGCUCAGUGGUAGAGUGCUUGCCUUGCAUGCAUGAGGCCCUGGGUUCGAUUCCUAAGCACCACA
Molecule: transfer RNA, 72 nt
Filed under: Dipodomys ordii (Ord's kangaroo rat)
Lineage: Eukaryota; Metazoa; Chordata; Mammalia; Rodentia; Heteromyidae
Rfam family: tRNA
About the family: Transfer RNA (tRNA) molecules are approximately 80 nucleotides in length.
Source: Rfam by way of RNAcentral